UCCCUAAGAGCCAGGUGGUGCGGCAUGGUCAGGAGUGGGUGGAGCCUUCCUGAAAGGCCUCCAGCCCACAAUGGAGCAGAAAUGUGAACAAGGCUGCUGUGGGCUCAAGGCUGGCUGUGCAGAGCCUGUACACCAUGGGACCAGCACCCCGGUUCCUUGCCAACUGGUUGUGCAUGGCAGUGACCCAGGACCAAGAAGCCAUUCCCAGCAUCCACCACGGAGCUCUCUGGCUGGGCAGAGGUUCCCACUUGUGAUGCUGUCUACCAUGUUGUGACCCAGCCAAGGGGCCUUACUGAUAACAAACAAAAAAAUAAAAUCAAACAAUGAGGUCCCAGUCCCAGACUGUCAACCUUCAAAACUGUUAGCCAACUAACGCUCUCUUCUGCUAAGUACCUGGCCCCGGGUGUCUUGCUUGUCACAGCUGUGGAGCGUUGACUUCUGUGAGCAGGAGAGCAGCACUGUGUUUGCCAGAGAUGUCGCACCCAGGAAGCCAGUGCUAUGACAGUUUCACACCGAAGACCGUCCUAAACCCAAAACUUUAUAUCCCGUUCACAGGCAAGGGCAAAAGAAAGGCGUUUUCAGACAUGUUCAGGCUCAGAAAGUUUCUCACAGAAAAGUCUCUUUUGUAGAAAAAAGUAGUUGAUUAGAUAAUGUAUUAAAGCAAAACUGUGUGUACAAUAAUUCUGUGUCAAAUUCUAAGUGAUUCCACACCCUGUGGGGAAGAGGUUUGGAUGGAAAGAGAGUAGAGUGAAGAGUCAGCAGCCUUGGUGACCUGCCUUGUUCAUAGGGCAGCAAAGGAUGAUGAGAGAUGGUCUGGAAAAGAUGCAUAAACAUGGAUCUGAGGGAGUGGCCAUCAAGAGAAUCACAAGGCAAUGUGUUAAACUGUAAGUAAAAAGAUCUAUUCCAUAGAUGUUAGGAAAAGAAAAGUGUAUGGAAUACAGAGAUAAGCUCAUGAAAUAAUAUGGAGGAAGUAGUUAGGAAUACAGCACAAAGCAUAAUAAAUGUGACUGCACUAUACUAUUCACCAAGAGACAAAACUCUCAGAAUACAUACAUUCAAAGAUAGUCUAAGUUAAUAUCUACACAAAACAUAUAAAGAAGAUUAGAAUUCAAAUGUGUAGCAGCUAAAAUCUCCAUAUAGUACUAAAAGGACGCAAGGACGACAGGCCACUGAACACAUGAGGAGAGGUCUCUGCCAGAUAGGAGAGAGGCAUUUGGGAGUCUAUCAGAGGGGACACUGGACUCUCCGAUUUGUCGUGAGCCACACCAAGCACCAUAAAUGUGGAGCCAGCAGUCUCGUGGGAGAUGGAAUGAGUAACUCCGUUUGAGCAGCCGAGCAGGAGGGCAUGAAGCUCUGUGGUCGGUCACUCGGGGCAUGAGAGUUUCACUCAUGCCAGAAGGAGGACUGUGGUAAGUGAAGCGCAGACAGAUGAGACCUGGCAUAUUGAUAGAUUCCAGCGGCAUUGUCGGAAAAUUCUAGAAACCAAACCAUGGGCAAGGAAAAAUGGGUAAGAUGGCCCUGGGAGAGGACAUGUGUAAAGACAGAGACUCAGUGGGAGCCGUGUUAGAGGAAAGGGGGAGAGAGGAACUGGGCUCCGCAUCCCAGGGGAACCAGCCCCACUGCAUCCACAGGAGGCUCAGUCUGAACUGUUGACGUCUGUGCAAGUCGACACCUAGAGCCUGGAAACCACCUCUAAGUGUGCUCAGGGCCAUUUGUGGAGUCCUCACUUUCCACUAGCCAGAAACCCCUGCAUUCUUUGCCAGCAUUAGAAUCGUUUUGUAUACUCCCAGCUUUACUGUGCUGGAGACAGUUGCUGUACAUUAUCACAUGCACUUUAAAAGUUGGCUUGCUUUGACUUGUGUACACUCGGUAAAUAAAACUAAUUCCAUUCUUUGUGACAAACUGA
This is a long non-coding RNA of Peromyscus leucopus (white-footed mouse), 1906 nucleotides long. RefSeq lists it as uncharacterized. NCBI's taxonomy places the organism in Eukaryota, Metazoa, Chordata, Mammalia, Rodentia, Cricetidae. The record is from RefSeq and is a predicted model, not a curated record. The transcript has 3 exons.